Diplogelasinospora grovesii is the source of this 100-nucleotide non-coding RNA. The record is from the annotation of a GenBank genome assembly. Lineage: Eukaryota; Fungi; Ascomycota; Sordariomycetes; Sordariales; Diplogelasinosporaceae.
GCCCGAUUAGCUCAGCUGGUUAGAGCGUCGUACUAAUAUCUCCGAUCUUGGAAAUAUGUGGUAAAUGCGAAGGUCAACAGUUCAAUCCUGUUAUUGGGCA